Molecule: ribosomal RNA, 567 nt
Filed under: Euthyrhinus sp. ARC1914
Lineage: Eukaryota; Metazoa; Arthropoda; Insecta; Coleoptera; Curculionidae
Description: SSU rRNA
Rfam family: Eukaryotic small subunit ribosomal RNA
Source: RNAcentral
GCUUGUCUCAAAGAUUAAGCCAUGCAUGUCUCAGUACAAGCCAUAUUAAGGUGAAACCGCAAAAGGCUCAUUAAAUCAGUUAUGGUUCCUUAGAUCGUACCCACAAUUACUUGGAUAACUGUGGUAAUUCUAGAGCUAAUACAUGCAAACAGAGCUCCGACCGGAGACGGAAGGAGUGCUUUUAUUAGAUCAAAACCAAUCGGUGGCGGGCUCGUCAUCGUACAACUUGGUGACUCUGAAUAACUUUACGCUGAUCGCACGGUCAUCGCACCGGCGACGCAUCUUUCAAAUGUCUGCCUUAUCAACUGUCGAUGGUAGGUUCUGCGCCUACCAUGGUUGUAACGGGUAACGGGGAAUCAGGGUUCGAUUCCGGAGAGGGAGCCUGAGAAACGGCUACCACAUCCAAGGAAGGCAGCAGGCGCGCAAAUUACCCACUCCCGGCACGGGGAGGUAGUGACGAAAAAUAACGAUACGGGACUCAUCCGAGGCCCCGUAAUCGGAAUGAGUACACUCUAAACUCUUUAACGAGGAUCAAUUGGAGGGCAAGUCUGGUGCCAGCAGCCGCGG